AGAGAGAGAGAAUCGAGGAAGAAGGAGGUAGUUCGAUCUGACCAGACCUGAUCCCGUCUGAUUUGGCCCGACCUAACCGGACCCUGUUUGAUUCAAUCCAACCUGACCUGAUGAGACAUGAUGAAACGAUUGGGAUGGAGGCGCACACGAGCGAAAGGUUAUGUAGAUUCAGGCUAGAUCAAUGUCAUGUACUCAUGUCGAUAUGUAUUAUGAACUCUUGAUCUUUAUAUUCCUAGACUUUA
Molecule: non-coding RNA, 242 nt
Organism: Cucurbita pepo subsp. pepo (vegetable marrow)
Lineage: Eukaryota; Viridiplantae; Streptophyta; Magnoliopsida; Cucurbitales; Cucurbitaceae
Source: RefSeq, a predicted model, not a curated record